UAGGGAAUCUUCGGCAAUGGACGAAAGUCUGACCGAGCACCGCCGCGUGAGUGAAGAAGGUUUUCGGAUCGUAAAACUCUGUUGUUAGAGAAGAACAAGGACGUUAGUAACUGAACGUCCCCUGACGGUAUCUAACCAGAAAGCCACGGCUAACUACGUGCCAGCAGCCGCGGUAAUACGUAGGUGGCAAGCGUUGUCCGGAUUUAUUGGGCGUAAAGCGAGCGCAGGCGGUUUCUUAAGUCUGAUGUGAAAGCCCCCGGCUCAACCGGGGAGGGUCAUUGGAAACUGGGAGACUUGAGUGCAGAAGAGGAGAGUGGAAUUCCAUGUGUAGCGGUGAAAUGCGUAGAUAUAUGGAGGAACACCAGUGGCGAAGGCGGCUCUCUGGUCUGUAACUGACGCUAAGGCUCGAAAGCGUGGGGAGCAAACAGG
RNAcentral lists this ribosomal RNA (429 nucleotides) under Gemmatimonadota bacterium. RNAcentral's name for it is "Gemmatimonadetes bacterium partial 16S ribosomal RNA". It matches the Rfam family "Bacterial small subunit ribosomal RNA", at positions 355 to 776 of the family's 1533-position model. Lineage: Bacteria; Pseudomonadati; Gemmatimonadota. The record is from RNAcentral.